RNAcentral lists this ribosomal RNA (99 nucleotides) under Gymnopilus luteofolius. RNAcentral's name for it is "partial 28S ribosomal RNA". The stretch from base 43 to 99 matches the Rfam family "Eukaryotic large subunit ribosomal RNA", at positions 1 to 57 of the family's 3401-position model. Lineage: Eukaryota; Fungi; Basidiomycota; Agaricomycetes; Agaricales; Galerinaceae. RNAcentral also lists the same sequence under 2 other names. The record is from RNAcentral.
AUGUGCUGCUUCUAAUCGUCCUCAGGACAAUUAUUGACCAUUUGACCUCAAAUCAGGUAGGACUACCCGCUGAACUUAAGCAUAUCAAUAAGCGGAGGG